This 774-nucleotide long non-coding RNA is filed under the name Vombatus ursinus (common wombat). RNAcentral's name for it is "lncRNA (ENSVURG00010008211.1)". Lineage: Eukaryota; Metazoa; Chordata; Mammalia; Diprotodontia; Vombatidae. The record is from RNAcentral.
GUUUAUUUCAAGUAAAGCUUGAACUUCUAUACAUAAAAGUGAAAUGAUGAUCUACAAUAUCCAAACAGCAAGAGCUAAAGAUACAAAGUUCUCACAAGAUAAGACACCUGGGGAGCAUAGCUUGAGGGUACAAGGUUCUCACUAGAUAAGACACACCAGAGGAGCAUCACUUCAGGGUGAAGGUUAAUUGUCUAUUCUAAGACUUCUCUAUUUACUUAUGACUAUGCACUUUCCCACGGGACUCAGCAAAUGUUUACUCAGCAGCAAAGCAAGUCCAGGGUACAGUCAAGGACAGAUGAUCCAGAGAAGCCUUUGCCUUUACCCAUAUUGACCCCCAAUAGCUAGAGAUUUUCCAGGUAGAUUCCAUCCCCAACACUCUCUUGCUGUGUGGCUCUCUUGCUGCCACUGUGUGCUCAGGGGGCUGCACAGGAGCCAGUGUACCCCGGCGAUGGUGCCACCCUAGAGCAGAUGGCUCUGUAUGCUGCGGAGCUCCAAAGAUAUAUCAGUAGGCUGACCCGGCCCAGGUAUGGGAAGGGAGCAGUGGGCCAGAGAAUCUUCCAGGAUGGAGUGGAUAUCUUGGAGUAGGUGGUUCUGCUGCAGCAUUCCCAGGACACCCAGUCAUCUGAAACAUCAGAGCUCCUGCCUCAUUCCCCUUUCCUCAUUUCCAGAGCCCUGUAGGAAGUCUUGGUCCUAGCUCCUAUGGCCCUGGCAGAAGCUGAGCCAUAGAGUUCUAUCCUCAUCCCUAAACCAGGCUUAAUAAAGCUGAAUCAAAAU